This 484-nucleotide ribosomal RNA is filed under the name uncultured bacterium. RNAcentral's name for it is "partial 16S ribosomal RNA". It matches the Rfam family "Bacterial small subunit ribosomal RNA", at positions 30 to 507 of the family's 1533-position model. The record is from RNAcentral.
AUUGAACGCUGGCGGCAGGCCUAACACAUGCAAGUCGAGCGGAUGAAGGGAGCUUGCUCCUGGAUUCAGCGGCGGACGGGUGAGUAAUGCCUAGGAAUCUGCCUGGUAGUGGGGGAUAACGUCCGGAAACGGGCGCUAAUACCGCCUACGUCCUGAGGGUGAAAGUGGGGGAUGUUCGGACCUCACGCUAUCAGAUGAGCCUAGGUCGGAUUAGCUAGUUGGUGGGGUAAAGGCCUACCAAGGCGACGAUCCGUAACUGGUCUGAGAGGAUGAUCAGUCACACUGGAACUGAGACACGGUCCAGACUCCUACGGGAGGCAGCAGUGGGGAAUAUUGGACAAUGGGCGAAAGCCUGAUCCAGCCAUGCCGCGUGUGUGAAGAAGGUCUUCGGAUUGUAAAGCACUUUAAGUUGGGAGGAAGGGCAGUAAGUUAAUACCUUGCUGUUUUGACGUUACCAACAGAAUAAGCACCGGCUAACUUCGUG